GAUGAACGCUAGCGAUAGGCUUAACACAUGCAAGUCGAGGGGCAGCAUGAUCUUAGCUUGCUAAGGUCGAUGGCGACCGGCGCACGGGUGCGUAACGCGUAUGCAACUUGCCUUACAGAGGGGGAUAACCCGUUGAAAGACGGACUAAAACCGCAUACACUUGUAUUAUUGCAUGAUAUUACAAGGAAAUAUUUAUAGCUGUAAGAUAGGCAUGCGUCCCAUUAGCUGGUUGGUGAGGUAACGGCUCACCAAGGCGACGAUGGGUAGGGGAACUGAGAGGUUUAUCCCCCACACUGGUACUGAGACACGGACCAGACUCCUACGGGAGGCAGCAGUGAGGAAUAUUGGUCAAUGGGCGAGAGCCUGAACCAGCCAAGUCGCGUGAAGGAAGACAGUCCUAAGGAUUGUAAACUUCUUUUAUACGGGAAUAACGGGCGAUACGAGUAUUGCAUUGAAUGUACCGUAAGAAUAAGCAUCGGCUAACUCCGUGCCAGCAGCCGCGGUAAUACGGAGGAUGCGAGCGUUAUCCGGAUUUAUUGGGUUUAAAGGGUGCGUAGGUUGUUCGGUAAGUCAGCGGUGAAACCUGAGCGCUCAACGUUCAGCCUGCCGUUGAAACUGCCGGGCUUGAGUUCAGUGGCGGCAGGCGGAAUUCGUGGUGUGGCGGUGAAAUGCAUAGAUAUCACGAGGAACUCCGAUUGCGAAGGCAGCUUGCCAUACUGCGACUGACACUGAAGCACGAAGGCGUGGGUAUCAAACAGG
RNAcentral lists this ribosomal RNA (759 nucleotides) under uncultured Porphyromonas sp. Its description in RNAcentral is "bacterial SSU rRNA". It matches the Rfam family "Bacterial small subunit ribosomal RNA", at positions 28 to 776 of the family's 1533-position model. Lineage: Bacteria; Pseudomonadati; Bacteroidota; Bacteroidia; Bacteroidales; Porphyromonadaceae. The record is from RNAcentral.